CAACCCCUCAAGCUCUGCUUGGUGUUGGGCCCGCGGGGUUACCCGCCGGCCCCAAUUCUAGUGGCGGUCUCUUGUGACACCGAGCGUAGUAAUGCUUUCGCUUUGGGUAAGCAAGGGUGCCGGCCGUUAAACAUGCCUCUGGCACUUUCAA
This 151-nucleotide unclassified non-coding RNA is filed under the name uncultured Ascomycota. Its description in RNAcentral is "sequence contains ITS2". Lineage: Eukaryota; Fungi; Ascomycota. The record is from RNAcentral.